This 253-nucleotide ribosomal RNA is filed under the name uncultured bacterium. Its description in RNAcentral is "partial 16S ribosomal RNA". It matches the Rfam family "Bacterial small subunit ribosomal RNA", at positions 524 to 776 of the family's 1533-position model. The record is from RNAcentral.
UACGGAGGGUGCAAGCGUUAUCCGGAUUCACUGGGUUUAAAGGGUGCGUAGGUGGGUUGAUAAGUCAGUGGUGAAAUCCCCGAGCUUAACUUGGAAACUGCCGUGGAUACUAUCAAUCUUGAAUAUCGUGGAGGUAAGCGGAAUAUGUCAUGUAGCGGUGAAAUGCUUAGAGAUGACAUAGAACACCAAUUGCGAAGGCAGCUGGCUACGCGGAUAUUGACACUGAUGCACGAAAGCGUGGGGAUCAAACAGG